AUUUUGUGGCUCAGUGGUAGAGCACUUGCCUUGAAAAUGUGAGGCACUGAAUUCAAUUCUCAGCACCACAUA
Molecule: transfer RNA, 72 nt
Filed under: Marmota monax (woodchuck)
Lineage: Eukaryota; Metazoa; Chordata; Mammalia; Rodentia; Sciuridae
Description: tRNA.Ser
Rfam family: tRNA (bases 5-65)
About the family: Transfer RNA (tRNA) molecules are approximately 80 nucleotides in length. Their secondary structure includes four short double-helical elements and three loops (D, anti-codon, and T loops).
Source: RNAcentral